UGGGGAAUUUUCCGCAAUGGGCGAAAGCCUGACGGAGCAAUACCGCGUGAGGGAGGAAGGCUUUUGGGUUGUAAACCUCUUUUCUUAGGGAAGAAGAAAGUGACGGUACCUAAGGAAUCAGCAUCGGCUAACUCCGUGCCAGCAGCCGCGGUAAUACGGAGGAUGCAAGCGUUAUCCGGAAUUAUUGGGCGUAAAGCGUCCGCAGGUGGCACUUCAAGUCUGCUGUCAAUGACCAGAGCUCAACUCUGGGCAGGCGGUGGAAACUGGGGAGCUAGUGUACGGUAGGGGUAGAGGGAAUUUCCAGUGUAGCGGUGAAAUGCGUAGAGAUUGGAAAGAACACCAGUGGCGAAGGCGACUUCCUGGGCCAAUACUGACGCUGAGGUGCGAAAGCGUGGGGAGCAAACAGGAUUAGAUACCCCUGUAGUCC
RNAcentral lists this ribosomal RNA (427 nucleotides) under uncultured prokaryote. RNAcentral describes it as "bacterial SSU rRNA". It matches the Rfam family "Bacterial small subunit ribosomal RNA", at positions 355 to 796 of the family's 1533-position model. The record is from RNAcentral.